Molecule: ribosomal RNA, 796 nt
Filed under: uncultured bacterium
Lineage: Bacteria
Description: bacterial SSU rRNA
Rfam family: Bacterial small subunit ribosomal RNA
Source: RNAcentral
AUGAACGCUGGCGGUGUGCCUAAUACAUGCAAGUCGAACGAAGACCCUUGUACUCGUACGAGGAAUUCUUAGUGGCGAACGGGUGAGUAUCGCGUUGGUGACCUGCCCCGAAGUGGGGGACAACAGUUCGGAAGGACUGCUAAUACCCCAUGUGGCCGUGAUAAUUAGAAAGUCACGACUAAAGGAGUAAUCCGCUUCGGGAGGGGCCUGCGUCCCAUCAGCUAGUUGGUAAGGUAAUGGCUUACCAAGGCAACGACGGGUAGGGGACCUGAGAGGGUGGCCCCCCACACUGGUACUGAAACACGGACCAGACACCUACGGGUGGCAGCAGUAGGGAAUAUUGCACAAUGGGCGAAAGCCUGAUGCAGCAACACCGCGUGUGUGAUGAAGGCCUUCGGGUCGUAAAGCACUUUUAUGAGGGAAGAGGAAGGACGGUACCUCAUGAAUAAGGAUCGGCUAACUACGUGCCAGCAGCCGCGGUAACACGUAGGAUCCAAGCGUUAUCCGGAUUUACUGGGCGUAAAGCGCGUGUAGGCGGCUUGGUAAGUUGGAUGUGAAAGCUCCCGGCCCAACCGGGAGACGUCGUUCAAUACUGCCAGGCUUGAGGACGAUAGAGGAAGGUGGAAUUCCGGGUGUAGUGGUGAAAUGCGUAGAUAUCCGGAGGAACACCAGUGGCGAAGGCGGCCUUCUGGGUCGUUCCUGACGCUCAGACGCGAAAGCUAGGGUAGCGAACGGGAUUAGAAACCCCGGUAGUCCUAGCCGUAAACGAUGUCAACUUGGUGUUGGUGGCGUAAAA